UAUUUAAGUCGCGGGACUCAAUAUGGCGGCGCGCGCUCGGCCGCUUGACCCCGGUGUCCCCUAAAGCGGGUAAGGGAUGAAACUUUCUCAUCUCGAGUCAUGCUGUUUUCGGAAACGUAGGGAUGCGUUUUAAUUUCUAUGCGCCACCCGUGGGUCGGCCCUCACCUGCGAGUCGGCUGACCGUGAACGACCCUCACUUGCUGUGCACCGGAAGGGCUUGGUCUUCUUGGCCUCUGUUUCCCGGAAGUGGUUUCCCUCCACCUCCUCAGGAGGGCCGGCCUUCCCUAAGGGCGGAGUCUAGGGCUUCUUUGGGACUGAAUAUGCAUUAGCUUUUGGAAGUCCAGCUUUGAUUUUCCCCUAAGCAUUGUUACAAAGGCCGGACUGCGGCUCUGGGCACCGUUCACAUCCUCGGCCGCCUUUGGCUUUGUGACCUUGGGCCGGUUGUAUAAGCUCUCUGAGCUUCCCAGGUGACUUCUCUGCAAAGUGGGCUGGUAACGCCCGAGUUGGUGCUAAAUCCUAAAGUUCAUGCUGCGAACCGGUCCCUCAACAGAUCAGCCUCUGUUUGGUCUGGUGGCAUGCCCCACAGGCUCCUGAGAGACGUGAGAAGCAGCUUUGUAUGGGAGCCACCUCUGCUCGCGUUUCCACCCAGAACCAAAGGACUGACCAUUCUUUCAAUCCCUAAGCAGUGUCUUUUCUAUCUAAUCCUAAUAACCAAGCCUGGAGGAAUUGUAGACUUUCUGGUUGAAGGUUCAACAGGUCUCCUCGUUUAAGGAUAGAGUAAGUCUCACUGAAGCUACAGAGGAGAAUCUGGAAAAUGCAAAUGUUACUACCUUAACCGAAAGAGGGAGGAGGGGACGCUUUCCUAAAUGGCCUUUACCUUGGACCUUUUCUUUCUCCUGGCAUUUGGGCUGCCAGGGAUCUUGCUUCUGCCCCACCAACACACUGAAAGCAAGAGCUCUUGACGUGAUGACUAAGGAAAAGAAUUUGGUUUUCAUUCGGAGACAGCUGAUUCUGAAGCCAUCUUAAAGCCUAAGCAUAGCACAACUGCAUUCAUGAUUCUAUGAAUUCUUUCCUACCAUUGGAACUUAGGGAAGGGGAGAGGAAGUGUGCAUCUAGGAAAUGUGGAAGGACAAGCUCUUCGUUCUUUCAUCCUUCCGCUGCCUUCUAACUCUGUGGUCGAGUGUGGUCUUCCCAGGAGAGCAUCUUCCAGGAAACUUAUUAGAAAGGAAGAACCCCAGGCCUCAUUUCACAUCUGAAGCAGAGUCUGCCUUGUAGCCAACUCCCCAGCCAUUGCUAGGCAUGCUAAAGUUGACGAGGCCCUGGUUUAACUCCUGGGGUGGUCUGGUUUAAAGUGAUGAGAUGGCAUCAAAGAUGACGGAAGGACAGAGUCCGCAGAGCCAGAAUUUGGGGCAGUGGAGGCAGAGAUUUCCUUUCCUGCAUUUGGGCACUGCCAGCAGGUUGAUUCAGAAGAUGGGUGAAAAAUUUGUUCCUGGGGUAGCAGGAGGAGCACCUUUGGAAUCUACUCACGGAGGUCUUCAGCAAGGUGAGGUUCCUCUGACCAAGAAGCCGGCUGCCCAGAUGCACUAAGCACGCCUCCCUCGCAUAUUCCGGAUUUUGAAUCUUAUCCACGUAGCACUAUGUACCUACUCCGUCCCGGCCAGGAGGCAGUUUCUGGAAGGUCUUUCCACCUGGAGACGUGUAUCAAAGACUGGGCUGUUUAUUUGGCCUUGGGCUACUUGGUGAUGGAAGAGAAGUGGCUUGCUCUCCUGAACAGUAAGCACAGACGUCCACAUCAAUCAUUGUUGCUUCAAGAAUUCCUAUUUUUAGCAAAAGCUUUCCAUUUUUAUGAGUUUGCAAGCGUGUGUCAGUGAGUUAGUGACUUUCACCCAAACCAUGGUGAGAGCGCUGGUCAUUUCCUCUAGGUGUGCGCUGGUAGAGUCUCAUGAGAAUGGGGUCGUCUGGCUCCUUCUCAAAGCAAGUCUUUGACAGAGCUGUGCAGCGUUCCGGUUUCCACAGUCCCCAGGGCUGUGAUUCGGUGCAAACCCAAGGUGAGCUUCGCCGAGCCGGCAGUGGACACCUCAGUUUUUCCUUCCAUCUGGUGUAUGGCCUGGGCAUGUCUCUCCAAAGGCACAUUCCCUCGUUGGUAAAAUAGAGCAUCUCACAUCCUAAUCUUACAAGAUGCUUUAUAAGCCUCAAGCAGAAUAAAAACGUCAGGAUUUAAUAACA
This 2226-nucleotide long non-coding RNA is filed under the name Sus scrofa (pig). Its description in RNAcentral is "lncRNA (ENSSSCG00005023919.1)". The record is from RNAcentral. Lineage: Eukaryota; Metazoa; Chordata; Mammalia; Artiodactyla; Suidae.